UUAGUCACAGUUUGUCAUCACUUACUGUUAAUAAUAUUUAUGGUGUUAAGUUGCAAUUAGCUUGGAUUGUGAAAUAAUAAUUAACUCAGCAGGAUCUUGCAUGACUGACACAAACAUCAAUAAAUGGAACAAAUAGCACAGUAAAGUCAGAAGCCACCAGAAUCCCAUCUCCACCAUUAACCCCAAUCACUGUGUAAUCAACCAACAAAUGGGUGAAAAUAUUCAUCAUCACUUCAGCAAGAGAAGGACGUUUGGCAGCAGCCAUAUAGAAGGAAACAGACAUUUAAACUACAGGGCAUAAUCAAAAGCAACAUCACUUGUUUCCUGUUAAAGGGAGAGGACAUUAUAAAUACAAAGGUUAACCUGACAAGUAUGGUCCAGUAGAGCAUUCUGCAUUUCAUCAAACAUCAAGACAAAGUGCUACGUGGGCCACUGGUGCAACAGGUUGAGUGAUUAACACCCCAGCUGGACUACCUGAUGAUCAACCGCUCUCAAUUGCUUGGGCAAAUUUGGCUAAAUGGAGGACAGGCACCCGUGGGCUUCAGUGAGCGAAGUUCAACUCGCCAGGUGCUGCUGGACAGUCCAAUCCAUCUAUUUUUAAUAUUCAGUCCAAAUGCUUCAAGUUGUUAACGAGGGAAGAGUGAUGAAGAACACACAUGGAAAGAGAAUGUCCAGUUUUACAAGGUACUUGGAAGAACCACCC
Molecule: long non-coding RNA, 703 nt
Organism: Hypanus sabinus (Atlantic stingray)
Lineage: Eukaryota; Metazoa; Chordata; Chondrichthyes; Myliobatiformes; Dasyatidae
Exons: 3
Source: RefSeq, a predicted model, not a curated record